RNAcentral lists this ribosomal RNA (434 nucleotides) under Gallus gallus (chicken). RNAcentral's name for it is "partial small subunit ribosomal RNA". It matches the Rfam family "Bacterial small subunit ribosomal RNA", at positions 767 to 1393 of the family's 1533-position model. The record is from RNAcentral. Lineage: Eukaryota; Metazoa; Chordata; Aves; Galliformes; Phasianidae.
UCAAACUGGGAUUAGAUACCCCACUAUGCCUAGCCCUAAAUCUAGAUACCUCCCAUCACACAUGUAUCCGCCUGAGAACUACGAGCACAAACGCUUAAAACUCUAAGGACUUGGCGGUGCCCCAAACCCACCUAGAGGAGCCUGUUCUAUAAUCGAUAAUCCACGAUUCACCCAACCACCCCUUGCCAGCACAGCCUACAUACCGCCGUCGCCAGCCCACCUCUAAUGAAAGAACAACAGUGAGCUCAAUAGCCCCUCGCUAAUAAGACAGGUCAAGGUAUAGCCUAUGGGGUGGGAGAAAUGGGCUACAUUUUCUAACAUAGAACAAACGAAAAAGGACGUGAAACCCGCCCUUAGAAGGAGGAUUUAGCAGUAAAGUGAGAUCAUACCCCCUAAGCUCACUUUAAGACGGCUCUGAGGCACGUACACACCGC